Pygocentrus nattereri (red-bellied piranha) is the source of this 159-nucleotide small nuclear RNA. Its record names the gene U1. It matches the Rfam family "U1 spliceosomal RNA". Rfam says of the family: U1 is a small nuclear RNA (snRNA) component of the spliceosome (involved in pre-mRNA splicing). Its 5' end forms complementary base pairs with the 5' splice junction, thus defining the 5' donor site of an intron. There are significant differences in sequence and secondary structure between metazoan and yeast U1 snRNAs, the latter being much longer (568 nucleotides as compared to 164 nucleotides in human). The record is from Ensembl. NCBI's taxonomy places the organism in Eukaryota, Metazoa, Chordata, Actinopteri, Characiformes, Serrasalmidae.
AUACUUACCUGGCAGGGGCGAUACCAUGAUCACGAAGGUGGCUCACGCAGGGCGAGGCUCUGCCGUUGCACUUUGGUGGUGCUGACCCUUGCGAAUUCCACAAAUGCGGGAAUCUGGACUGCAUGAUUUCUGGUAGUGGGGGACUGCGUUCGCGCACAG